RNAcentral lists this ribosomal RNA (441 nucleotides) under uncultured bacterium. RNAcentral's name for it is "partial 16S ribosomal RNA". It matches the Rfam family "Bacterial small subunit ribosomal RNA", at positions 339 to 795 of the family's 1533-position model. The record is from RNAcentral.
CUACGGGGGGCACCAGUGGGGAAUAUUGGGCAAUGGGCGCAAGCCUGACCCAGCAACGCCGCGUGAGGGAAGAAGGUUUUCGGAUUGUAAACCUCUGUCCUUGGGGACGAAGAAGUGACGGUACCCAAGGAGGAAGCUCCGGCUAACUACGUGCCAGCAGCCGCGGUAAUACGUAGGGAGCAAGCGUUGUCCGGAAUUACUGGGCGUAAAGGGUGCGUAGGCGGCAUAUUAAGUCAGGUGUGAAAUACUCGGGCUCAACCCGGGGGCUGCAUUUGAAACUGAUAUGCUUGAGUGUGAGAGAGGAAAGUGGAAUUCCUAGUGUAGCGGUGGAAUGCGUAGAUAUUAGGAGGAACACCAGUGGCGAAGGCGACUUUCUGGCUCAUAACUGACGCUGAGGCACGAAAGCGUGGGGAGCAAACAGGAUUAGAUACCCUUGUAGUC